This is a non-coding RNA of Trichechus manatus latirostris (Florida manatee), 71 nucleotides long. The record is from the annotation of a RefSeq genome assembly. Lineage: Eukaryota; Metazoa; Chordata; Mammalia; Sirenia; Trichechidae.
GCAUUGGUGGUUCAGUGGCAGAAUUCUUGCCUCCCAUGCAGGAGACCAAGGCUCGAUUCCUGGCCAAUGCG